Small nuclear RNA from Protopterus annectens (West African lungfish), 102 nucleotides. The record is from RefSeq and is a predicted model, not a curated record. Lineage: Eukaryota; Metazoa; Chordata; Ceratodontiformes; Protopteridae.
GCUGCUUUGGCAGCAUGUGCACUAAAAUUGGAACAAUACACUAAAGAUUGGCAUGGCCCCUACACAGGCAUGACGUGCGUUUAUGAAGAAGUCCAUAUUUAA